This 513-nucleotide ribosomal RNA is filed under the name uncultured bacterium. RNAcentral's name for it is "partial 16S ribosomal RNA". It matches the Rfam family "Bacterial small subunit ribosomal RNA", at positions 28 to 523 of the family's 1533-position model. The record is from RNAcentral.
GACGAACGCUGGCGGCGUGCCUAAUACAUGCAAGUUGAGCGCUGAAGGUUGGUACUUGUACCGACUGGAUGAGCAGCGAACGGGUGAGUAACGCGUGGGGAAUCUGCCUUUGAGCGGGGGACAACAUUUGGAAACGAAUGCUAAUACCGCAUAAAAACUUUAAACACAAGUUUUAAGUUUGAAAGAUGCAAUUGCAUCACUCAAAGAUGAUCCCGCGUUGUAUUAGCUAGUUGGUGAGGUAAAGGCUCACCAAGGCGAUGAUACAUAGCCGACCGGAGAGGGUGCUCUGCCACAUUGGGACUGAGACGCGGCCCAAACGCCUACGGGAGGCAGCAGUAGGAAACCUUCGGCAAUGAACGAAGGUCUGACCGAGAAACGCCGCGUGAGUGAAGAAGGUUUUCGGAUCGUAAAACUCUGUUGGUAGAGAAGAACGUUGGUGAGAGUGGAAAGCUCAUCAAGUGACGGUAACUACCCAGAAAGGGACGGCUAACUACGUGCCAGCCGCCGCCGUAA